GAUGAACGCUGGCGGCGUGCCUAAUACAUGCAAGUCGAGCGAACAGACGAGGAGCUUGCUCCUCUGACGUUAGCGGCGGACGGGUGAGUAACACGUGGAUAACCUACCUAUAAGACUGGGAUAACUUCGGGAAACCGGAGCUAAUACCGGAUAAUAUAUUGAACCGCAUGGUUCAAUAGUGAAAGCCGGUUUUGCUGUCACUUAUAGAUGGAUCCGCGCCGCAUUAGCUAGUUGGUAAGGUAACGGCUUACCAAGGCAACGAUGCGUAGCCGACCUGAGAGGGUGAUCGGCCACACUGGAACUGAGACACGGGCCAGACUCCUACGGGAGGCAGCAGUAGGGAAUCUUCCGCAAUGGGCGAAAGCCUGACGGAGCAACGCCGCGUGAGUGAUGAAGGUCUUCGGAUUGUAAAACUCUGUUAUUAGGGAAGAACAAAUGUGUAAGUAACUAUGCACGUCUUGACGGUACCUAAUCAGAAAGCCACGGCUAACUACGUG
RNAcentral lists this ribosomal RNA (497 nucleotides) under uncultured bacterium. RNAcentral describes it as "partial 16S ribosomal RNA". It matches the Rfam family "Bacterial small subunit ribosomal RNA", at positions 28 to 507 of the family's 1533-position model. The record is from RNAcentral.